AAGUAUGAAGCAAAAUUUGCAUUUAGUUUCGACCUAAAAAUUUGAUAAAUUAUCCUUACUUU
Molecule: transfer RNA, 62 nt
Filed under: Cyllorhynchites ursulus
Lineage: Eukaryota; Metazoa; Arthropoda; Insecta; Coleoptera; Attelabidae
Description: tRNA-Arg
Source: RNAcentral